RNAcentral lists this unclassified non-coding RNA (175 nucleotides) under soil metagenome. RNAcentral's name for it is "partial contains 5.8S ribosomal RNA, internal transcribed spacer 2, and large subunit ribosomal RNA". The record is from RNAcentral.
AACGCACGAGACCUGCGGACCUGCGGAGGGAUCAUUAGUGAUUGCCCUUAGCGGCUUAAACUAUAUCCACAUACACCUGUGAACUGUUCUUUAGCUCGAAAGAGUUAAUUUUACAAACAUUGUGUAAUGAACGUCGUUUUAUUAUAACAAAUAAAACUUUUAACAAUGGAUCUCU